Molecule: ribosomal RNA, 492 nt
Filed under: uncultured bacterium
Lineage: Bacteria
Description: partial 16S ribosomal RNA
Rfam family: Bacterial small subunit ribosomal RNA
Source: RNAcentral
AGUGAACGCUGGCGGUAGGCCUAACACAUGCAAGUCGAACGGCAGCACAGUAAGAGCUUGCUCUUACGGGUGGCGAGUGGCGGACGGGUGAGGAAUACAUCGGAAUCUACUUUUUCGUGGGGGAUAACGUAGGGAAACUUACGCUAAUACCGCAUACGACCUACGGGUGAAAGCAGGGGAUCUUCGGACCUUGCGCGAUUGAAUGAGCCGAUGUCGGAUUAGCUAGUUGGCGGGGUAAAGGCCCACCAAGGCGACGAUCCGUAGCUGGUCUGAGAGGAUGAUCAGCCACACUGGAACUGAGACACGGUCCAGACUCAUACGGGAGCCAGCAGUGGGGAAUAGUGGAAAAUGGGCGCAAGCUUGAUCAAGCCAUACCGCGUGGGUGAAGAAGGCCUUCGGGUUGUAAAGCCCUUUUGUUGGGAAAGAAAAGCAGCAGGUUAAUACCCCGCUGUUCUGACGGUACCCAAAGAAUAAGCACCGGCUAACUCCGUG